GAGCGGCGGACGGGUGAGUAAUGUCUGGGGGAGUCUGCCCGAUGGAGGGGGAGUAACUACUGGAAACGGUAGCUAAUACCGCAUAACGUCGCAAGACCAAAGUGGGGGACCUUCGGGCCUCACACCAUCGGAUGAACCCAGAUGGGAUUAGCUAGUAGGCGGGGGUAAUGGCUCACCUAGGCGACGAUCCCUAGCUGGUCUGAGAGGAUGACCAGCCACACUGGAACUGAGACACGGUCCAG
Molecule: ribosomal RNA, 242 nt
Filed under: uncultured bacterium
Lineage: Bacteria
Description: partial 16S ribosomal RNA
Rfam family: Bacterial small subunit ribosomal RNA
Source: RNAcentral